RNAcentral lists this transfer RNA (70 nucleotides) under Toxocara canis (dog roundworm). It matches the Rfam family "tRNA". From Rfam's summary of the family: Transfer RNA (tRNA) molecules are approximately 80 nucleotides in length. Their secondary structure includes four short double-helical elements and three loops (D, anti-codon, and T loops). Lineage: Eukaryota; Metazoa; Nematoda; Chromadorea; Rhabditida; Toxocaridae. The record is from Rfam by way of RNAcentral.
GCGGCAAUAGCUCGGUGGUAGAGCCCCGGUUCGCGUGCGGGGAGACCGGGUUCGAUUCCCGGCUGCUUCC